CCCUACGGGGCGCAGCAGGCGCGAAAACUUUACAAUGCGGGAAACCGUGAUAAGGGAACACCGAGUGCCAGCAUCAUAUGCUGGCUGUCCAGAUGUGUAAACUACAUCUGUUAGCAAGGGCCGGGCAAGACCGGUGCCAGCCGCCGCGGUAACACCGGCGGCCCGAGUGGUGAUCGUUAUUAUUGGGUCUAAAGGGUCCGUAGCCGGUUUGGUCAGUCCUCCGGGAAAUCUGAUAGCUUAACUGUUAGGCUUUCGGGGGAUACUGCCAGGCUUGGAACCGGGAGAGGUAAGAGGUACUACAGGGGUAGGAGUGAAAUCUUGUAAUCCCUGUGAGACCACCUGUGGCGAAGGCGUCUUACCAGAACGGGUUCGACGGUGAGGGACGAAAGCUGGGGGCACGAACCGGAUUAGAUACCCGGGUAGUCCCAGCCGUAAACUAUGCUCGCUAGGUGUCAGGCAUGGCGCGACCGUGUCUGGUGCCGCAGGGAAGCCGUGAAGCGAGCCACCUGGGAAGUACGGCCGCAAGGCUGAAACUUAAAGGAAUUGGCGGGGGAGCACAACAACGGGUGGAGCCUGCGGUUUAAUUGGACUCAACGCCGGACAACUCACCGGGAACGACA
Molecule: ribosomal RNA, 620 nt
Filed under: uncultured archaeon
Lineage: Archaea
Description: bacterial SSU rRNA
Rfam family: Archaeal small subunit ribosomal RNA
Source: RNAcentral